This is a long non-coding RNA of Seriola aureovittata, 535 nucleotides long. RefSeq lists it as uncharacterized. The transcript is spliced from 4 exons. The record is from RefSeq and is a predicted model, not a curated record. Lineage: Eukaryota; Metazoa; Chordata; Actinopteri; Carangiformes; Carangidae.
UGGAUCAGGUAAAGAAGUUCAUAGUAAGAGCUAGUUAGACAUGUCAGGGUGUUAGAGGUGUUAGGAGAGGAGGUGCUCUCUGAAAAGACAAGGCUUCAACAGAUUGCUGACGAUAGAGAGGUGACUACACACCUCCCAGCCUCACAAGUCCACAUGUCAGUAUUCCAGACCACUACAAACUUUCUGGGAGCGUUUCAAUUACAGUGGUCCAAGAGACGAGCCUUGUGGUACACCAAGGAAGACGCAUCACCCAUAACAGCUGAGUUCUGACAGAAAAGAAGAUCGAAGAGACAAGAGGAGAGGACUUCUACGGCUUAGUGCUGAGACGCCUCUUUCCAAAUGUCACGACACCGCCACCCCAUCGAGCGAACAUCUUACAAUAUACCUACUGCGUCUUUGUGUGGUGCUUUGCUGCCGAGGAAUAAAGGAGCAGAGAGCAAACACGAUGUGAGCCGACGCCGACAGCAGCGACGACAACCAGGCGAGGUUCCCAACCUGUGGGCCAGGGGCCGCUGGAGGGCCGCUGAAGGGCCGC